GAUUUUAGUUUUGAAUUUAAUGGUAGUAACCUGAAAAAAUGUAGUGUUAUCGACAAGGUUAGGAAACUUUGGUAAGGACCGAGAGGGGGUUUUGAAGAGCGGAAAUGGUUAUAGUAUGGUUUUAGGGUACCUUUUGCAUAAUGGUUCAACAAGAAAAAAUCAUAGUAUAUGUAUGUUGUCCAGAAGUUGAAAGAGCUACCAGACAACCAGCUUCAGGCUACAAAGGUCAUAAUCGUACUAUGUCUUGAGAUUGGCUGGUAGAAGUGAAAUGUUUUUCGAAUUCGACGAUAUCUGGUUGGCCCAGAAAUAAAUUAAGUUUAGGGUUGUUGAAGUUAAUAAUUAUAUAAUAAUUACAGUACAGUACAGCACUUGAUGUUCUCUGUAGAGCAGUGAAUAGAUUAAAACGACAGAAAGAAUAAACGUUUUUGCUAUCUAAGGGUAGGUCUCGUAGCGGUCAUCACUUAGGAGCGGAUCCGCAGCGCAGUUGACAGCGUGUCUUUUAAAAAUUAGUUUAAGUUUUUAGGUCUUAUGAUGUAUGGGUCGGAGUGGUUGAACAGUGAAUCUAUUCCCAUAAUGUUGGGAUUAGUAGCUGUGGAUAAGUCUUAUUUUGGUAAUAUAAUGGUAGAUUAAAAAGUGGUAAAUAAACUAACUAAAGGAACUCGGCAAAAUUUUUCCCUCCCGACUGUUUAUCAAAAACAUAGCGUCUAGAAAAAAGGUUGGAGGUGUUGUCUGCCCGGUGGAAUCCCUAAACGGCGGCCUUAGCGUGAGGGUCUUAAGGUAGCAUGUAGUGUUCUGGUUAAUUGUCAGGUGGUAUGAAUGGGAGCACGAGGGGGGAACUGUCUCUAGUUGGUUAAAGUGAAAUUACCAUGGAGGUGAAAAGGCCUCUAUAAAAUAAAUAGACGAUAAGACCCCAUGAAAUUUUAGUCUUUUUCAGGAAUUAUUUAAUAAGAAAUUGGAGUACAAGGCUUUGGUUGGGGCAACUCUGGAGCGCACAAGCCUCCAGGAAUUUUUAUAAACUAACAAGUGUAGAACCUCCAUGUGUGGUUAUCGGAAAAAAUUACUCUGGGGAUAACAGCGUUAUCUUCCUGAAAAGAUCAUAUUGAUGGGAAGGUUUACGACCUCGAUGUUGAAUGUGGCUAUCCUUAGGCUUGUAGGGGGCUUAGAGGGUUGGACUGUUCGUCCAUUCAAAAGCCAACCUGAUUUGAGUUCAGAACGGCGUGAGCUAGUUCGGUUUCUAUCUUUUAAUCUAUUAAUAAUGCCGAAUAUUGUACGCAAGGACUUAGAAGGCCGGCAUAUUGGCUGAUAAAAUGUGGUGUAAGGUAAAGGGAAAUAUUUUUAAAUUUACUAUCUAAUAAAUGUA
Molecule: ribosomal RNA, 1360 nt
Filed under: Anadara antiquata
Lineage: Eukaryota; Metazoa; Mollusca; Bivalvia; Arcoida; Arcidae
Description: 16S ribosomal RNA
Rfam family: Bacterial large subunit ribosomal RNA
Source: RNAcentral